This is a long non-coding RNA of Eucalyptus grandis, 356 nucleotides long. RefSeq lists it as uncharacterized. The record is from RefSeq and is a predicted model, not a curated record. The transcript is spliced from 3 exons. NCBI's taxonomy places the organism in Eukaryota, Viridiplantae, Streptophyta, Magnoliopsida, Myrtales, Myrtaceae.
UAUCCCGAUAACCAUAUGCUCGGUCGACGUGAGAUCGUGAAUGGAAAGGCUGGAAAAAUAUGUGGCAAACAUACAAACAAGUGUACGAUAAAGUGAUCAGAAUUGGGAAUGCUAUCCGGAGCUGUGGUGUUGAACCGAGGGCUAAAUGUGGAAUUUACGGUGCCAACUGCGCGGAGUGGAUUAUGAGCAUGGAGGUCAGUGGAUCCCUUCAAACAUAUUAUUAGACUUAUAGCUUGUUUGCAAACGUGACCUGUCUUGGUAGCAUGAAGUAAGAAUUGGCACUGGAGCCUGGAGGAUAGUCCUGCCAAAUCUCAUGCCAUCUGAUUCACUUUCUGGGUUAUUAAUGCCAAAAUUUA